This 73-nucleotide microRNA precursor is filed under the name Cricetulus griseus (Chinese hamster). RNAcentral describes it as "miRNA (ENSCGRG00001004095.1)". The record is from RNAcentral. Lineage: Eukaryota; Metazoa; Chordata; Mammalia; Rodentia; Cricetidae.
UUCUCACUGAAUCUCUCUGGGCAUGAUGAUAAUACAUGUAAUGUCAGUGCUCAGGAGGCUGAGGCAGGAGGAU